RNAcentral lists this ribosomal RNA (393 nucleotides) under uncultured bacterium. Its description in RNAcentral is "bacterial SSU rRNA". It matches the Rfam family "Bacterial small subunit ribosomal RNA", at positions 521 to 916 of the family's 1533-position model. RNAcentral also lists the same sequence under 1 other name. The record is from RNAcentral.
UAAUACGGGGGAUGCAAGCGUUAUCCGGAUUUAUUGGGUUUAAAGGGUGCGUAGGCGGUUUGAUAAGUCAGCGGUGAAAUAUUUCAGCUUAACUGAAAGGGUGCCGUUGAUACUGUCAGGCUUGAAUAUGGUUGCUGUGGGUGGAAUGUGUGGUGUAGCGGUGAAAUGCUUAGAUAUCACACAGAAUAUCGAUUGCGAAGGCAGCUCACAAAGCCAUUAUUGACGCUGAUGCACGAAAGUGUGGGGAUCAAACAGGAUUAGAUACCCUGGUAGUCCACACUGUAAACGAUGAUAACUCGCUGUCGGCGAUACACAGUCGGUAGCCAAGCGAAAGCGAUAAGUUAUCCACCUGGGGAGUACGACCGCAAGGUUGAAACUCAAAUGAAUUGACGG